UAGGAAUGGAGAAGCCAUGUAUACACUGUGU
This 31-nucleotide non-coding RNA is filed under the name Mus musculus (house mouse). Lineage: Eukaryota; Metazoa; Chordata; Mammalia; Rodentia; Muridae. The record is from RNAcentral.